This 583-nucleotide long non-coding RNA is filed under the name Calidris pugnax (ruff). RNAcentral describes it as "lncRNA (ENSCPUG00000018803.1)". The record is from RNAcentral. Lineage: Eukaryota; Metazoa; Chordata; Aves; Charadriiformes; Scolopacidae.
GUGGUCACCAGACUCUGCACGAGGAGGGCUCACGGUGCAGGUGCCACUGCACAAAAGAAGCUCCAUUUCCUUUUGUUAACGCUGUUGUUUUUUUUCAGCAGAGGGAGAGAGAGAGACUUCCCCUGAACUGGCGACAGGCCUCUAAUGCAGCUGCACUUCUGCUGGCUCCUGAUGCCUUCUGACGGUGUCCCUGUGAUCUCAUACUCCAGAGGUGGCCUUAGCUGUAGCAGAGCGAAUAUCACAACUCCCAGAAUUCACGACUUGGGUGGAGUCAGGAAAAGGUUGCGUGCCUGUCCCUGAUACGGCUGUGUCUCCUGCCAGAACAUCCUGAUGAUAACCUCUGGAGAUCCCACCCCACAGCUCACAGCCUCACUCGCACUGUGACGGCCGCGACGACGAGGAGCAGCGGGAGGAAUCAGGGACCAAAACCAACUCGGGAUACAGCAUCCAAAAGCUCAAGGAUCUGAAGGUAGGGAAACUGCUUGGUGCGUUUGACAGUAAUCAAAAUACAAACACGGUCCUGAGGGGCAAGAGGACAUUUUGGUGUGAGAAGGAAGCAGACCAGUGCAGCAUGAAACAAAAA